This 496-nucleotide ribosomal RNA is filed under the name uncultured bacterium. RNAcentral describes it as "partial 16S ribosomal RNA". It matches the Rfam family "Bacterial small subunit ribosomal RNA", at positions 28 to 507 of the family's 1533-position model. The record is from RNAcentral.
GAUGAACGCUGGCGGCGUGCCUAAUACAUGCAAGUCGAGCGAACAGACGAGGAGCUUGCUCCUCUGACGUUAGCGGCGGACGGGUGAGUAACACGUGGAUAACCUACCUAUAGACUGGGAUAACUUCGGGAAACCGGAGCUAAUACCGGAUAAUAUAUUGGACCGCAUGGUUCAAUAGUGAAAGACGGUUUUGCUGUCACUUAUAGGUGGAUCCGCGCCGCAUUAGCUAGUUGGUAAGGUAACGGCUUACCAAGGCAACGAUGCGUAGCCGACCUGAGAGGGUGAUCGGCCACACUGUAACUGAGACACGGUCCAGACUCCUACGGUAGGCCGCAGUAGGGAAUCUUCCGCAAUGGGCGAAAGCUUGACGGAGCAACGCCGCGUGAGUGAUGAAGGUCUUCGGAUCGUAAAACUCUGUUAUUAGGGAAGAACAAAUGUGUAAGUAACUAUGCACGUCUUGACGGUACCUAAUCAGAAAGCCACGGCUAACUACGUG